RNAcentral lists this ribosomal RNA (502 nucleotides) under uncultured Glomus. RNAcentral describes it as "SSU rRNA". It matches the Rfam family "Eukaryotic small subunit ribosomal RNA", at positions 569 to 1074 of the family's 1831-position model. Lineage: Eukaryota; Fungi; Glomeromycota; Glomeromycetes; Glomerales; Glomeraceae. The record is from RNAcentral.
AGCAGCCGCGGUAAUUCCAGCUCCAAUAGCAUAUAUUAAAGUUGUUGCAGUUAAAAAGCUCGUAGUUGAAUUUCGGGGUUAGUAGGUUGGUCAUGCCACUGGUAUGUACUGGUCUCACUGAUUCCUCCUUCCUGAUGAGCCGUAAUGCCAUUAAUUUGGUGUUGCGAGGAAUCUGGACUGUUACUUUGAAAAAUUAGAGUGUUUAAAGCAGGCUAACGCUUGAAUACAUUAGCAUGGAAUAAUGAAAUAGGACGUUCGAUCUUAUUUUGUUGGUUUCUAAGAUUGACGUAAUGAUUAAUAGGGAUAGUUGGGGGCAUUAGUAUUCAAUUGUCAGAGGUGAAAUUCUUGGAUUUAUUGAAGACUAACUACUGCGAAAGCAUUUGCCAAGGAUGUUUUCAUUAAUCAAGAACGAAAGUUAGGGGAUCGAAGACGAUCAGAUACCGUCGUAGUCUUAACCAUAAACUAUGCCGACUAGGGAUCGGAUGAUGUUAAUUUUUAAUGA